UAACGCGUGGGUAACCUGGCCCAUACAGGGGGAUAACACUUAGAAAUAGGUGCUAAUACCGCAUAACAACAGAAAGCGCAUGCUUUUUGUUUGAAAACCAAGGUGGUAUGGGAUGGACCCGCGUCUGAUUAGCUGGUUGGCGGGGUAAAGGCCCACCAAGGCGACGAUCAGUAGCCGGCCUGAGAGGGUGGACGGCCACAUUGGGACUGAGACACGGCCCAAACUCCUACGGGAGGCAGCAGUGGGGAAUAUUGCACAAUGGGGGAAACCCUGAUGCAGCGACGCCGCGUGAGUGAAGAAGUAAUUCGUUAUGUAAAGNUCUAUCUGCAGGGAAGAAAAUGACGGUACCUGAGUAAGAAGCCCCGGCUAACUACGUGCCAGCAGCCGCGGUAAUACGUAGGGGGCAAGCGUUAUCCGGAUUUACUGGGUGUAAAGGGAGCGUAGACGGCAGUGCAAGUCUGGAGUGAAAGGCGGGGGCUCAACCCCCGGACUGCUCUGGAAACUGUACGGCUGGAGUGCAGGAGAGGUAAGCGGAAUUCCUAGUGUAGCGGUGAAAUGCGUAGAUAUUAGGAGGAACACCAGUGGCGAAGGCGGCUUACUGGACUGUAACUGACGUUGAGGCUCGAAAGCGUGGGGAGCAAACAGGAUUAGAUACCCUGGUAGUCCACGCCGUAAACGAUGGAUACUAGGUGU
This 693-nucleotide ribosomal RNA is filed under the name uncultured bacterium. RNAcentral describes it as "bacterial SSU rRNA". It matches the Rfam family "Bacterial small subunit ribosomal RNA", at positions 111 to 823 of the family's 1533-position model. The record is from RNAcentral.